CCUACGGGGGGCAGCAGUGGGGAAUAUUGCACAAUGGGGGAAACCCUGAUGCAGCGACGCCGCGUGAGUGAAGAAGUAUUUCGGUAUGUAAAGCUCUAUCAGCAGGGAAGAAAAUGACGGUACCUGAUUAAUAAGCCCCAGCUAACUACGGGCCAGCAGCCGCGGUCAUACGGAGGGGGCAAGCGUUAUCCGGAUUUACUGGGUGUAAAGGGAGCGUAGGCGGCAGCACAAGUCUGGCGUGAAAUACCGGGGGUUAACCCCGGAACUGCUGUGGAAACUGUGCAGCUAGAGUGCAGGAGAGGUAAGUGGAAGUCCUGGUGUAGCGGUGAAAUGCGUAGAUAUCAGGAGGAACACCAGUGGCGAAGGCGGCUUACUGGACUGUAACUGACGCUGAGGCUCGAAAGCGUGGGGAGCAAACAGGAUUAGAUACCCGAGUAGUC
RNAcentral lists this ribosomal RNA (440 nucleotides) under uncultured bacterium. RNAcentral's name for it is "partial 16S ribosomal RNA". It matches the Rfam family "Bacterial small subunit ribosomal RNA", at positions 338 to 795 of the family's 1533-position model. The record is from RNAcentral.